CUUCAUCCUCUCAAGGAUCUUAUCCAAGGCAAACCAUUCAAUCUGAAGCUCCUUCCACUUCAGUUUCAUCAGCUGGUGCAAAUCGGAAUGCCAUCAUCGUUAGCCAUAGACAGGUGAGUUACUUUUUUGGUGCACUAUAACCAAUAUGAUCAUCGCAAAUGGAGUAGGUUGAUGUGGAACUACAUAAAUUUGAAACGAUGUUGUUUUGAUCCACGAAAAUUUAAAAAUUUGAUUAGAAAUGUCAAAAAUUUGUUUCUCCCAAUUCUCUCCUCCGCCGCCGUCGCAGUUCGGCUCUUCCAUUCGAGCUACUUCCCCUUCUUCAUCUAAAUUAGAUCAACUUAUAUUCUACCACUCUUUGAAACAAAUUAAUUUGUUAAUUUGCUGUAAUUCGUUAAUGUAAUUUGUUUGUAAGAUUUAUUCGUAGCUGUCACUCAAAGCGAUUAGAAUUGGGUGGAAAUUUUCAGUAGUAAAGGCUGAAUUUUUACCGAAAUGAUUUAGUUGUAUUAUGUUGAUUUCAUAAAGGGCGAUUCUAUUCACAGCCCCCAUUUUACUCCUUAUAGCCUCUUUUUUGAAAUACUAAUAAAAAUUAAUUAGAAAUUUACUAUUUUAUCCUAUACUGUAUAGCCCCUAAAUUAAAUUAAAUUUUUAAUUACUUCAUCAUCUCAAGUUAUUUUUAACCACAAUUUUUUAGAUUUCUUUCAUAGCCCGAUUAUGAGAGCCGCACAUGUUGGAGUUUUUCUUGUAAUUGGUCAUAGUUAAUCGGUCUUCCUCUUGGUCAUGACUACUUCGAUAUGAAAUUCAGAGCCGUUGGGGCCGCCUCCGCCGCGGCCAUGUGUUGUGAGCGACGGCUAGAUCGAAGGAGAAUAGCAAAGAAGAAUGAAGGGGCUAUAAAAUAUAUAUUGCAUAUUUAGUUGUUGUCUUCUUCAAGUCUUCGAAAAUCAAGAGGCUUCCAGUUUCAAGAAUCGAUUGUAUAUGCAUUUCAAGAAUUCUAGUUUCCUUUGGCUUUGGGGACAUUCUAUUCCCGGCCUACUAACUUCCUUUGAUUUUAGGUAUUUUACUAAUGUCCCUAUUUUUGAUUGAGAUAUAUAAUAUUACAGGAGUAAUAUGGGCGUUCAUUGCUGAUUUGACAAAGCUAUGGAGUUGGUGAGUAUACUUGCAACAUGGGUAUAUGUAUGAUGAUAAAAUUGGCUCAAUUUCCAAACAUAAUUAAAGAUCAUGGUGGAAAAGAGGAGAUUUCAGAAGGCGUUGCAGCUACUCUUGCUGCAUUAGCAGCAGAGAAACCAAAACAUGGUGAACUUGUGUUGUUGCUUCUGUAGCGGCCAUAGUGGCUGCACAGUGCGCAAAGGUCGCUGAGAAGAUGGGAGCCAAGAUG
Long non-coding RNA from Salvia miltiorrhiza (redroot sage), 1372 nucleotides. RefSeq lists it as uncharacterized. The transcript is spliced from 4 exons. The record is from RefSeq and is a predicted model, not a curated record. NCBI's taxonomy places the organism in Eukaryota, Viridiplantae, Streptophyta, Magnoliopsida, Lamiales, Lamiaceae.